RNAcentral lists this ribosomal RNA (1272 nucleotides) under Escherichia coli. Its description in RNAcentral is "partial 23S ribosomal RNA". It matches the Rfam family "Bacterial large subunit ribosomal RNA", at positions 612 to 1869 of the family's 2925-position model. Lineage: Bacteria; Pseudomonadati; Pseudomonadota; Gammaproteobacteria; Enterobacterales; Enterobacteriaceae. The record is from RNAcentral.
AUAAUGGGUCAGCGACUUAUAUUCUGUAGCAAGGUUAACCGAAUAGGGGAGCCGAAGGGAAACCGAGUCUUAACUGGGCGUUAAGUUGCAGGGUAUAGACCCGAAACCCGGUGAUCUAGCCAUGGGCAGGUUGAAGGUUGGGUAACACUAACUGGAGGACCGAACCGACUAAUGUUGAAAAAUUAGCGGAUGACUUGUGGCUGGGGGUGAAAGGCCAAUCAAACCGGGAGAUAGCUGGUUCUCCCCGAAAGCUAUUUAGGUAGCGCCUCGUGAAUUCAUCUCCGGGGGUAGAGCACUGUUUCGGCAAGGGGGUCAUCCCGACUUACCAACCCGAUGCAAACUGCGAAUACCGGAGAAUGUUAUCACGGGAGACACACGGCGGGUGCUAACGUCCGUCGUGAAGAGGGAAACAACCCAGACCGCCAGCUAAGGUCCCAAAGUCAUGGUUAAGUGGGAAACGAUGUGGGAAGGCCCAGACAGCCAGGAUGUUGGCUUAGAAGCAGCCAUCAUUUAAAGAAAGCGUAAUAGCUCACUGGUCGAGUCGGCCUGCGCGGAAGAUGUAACGGGGCUAAACCAUGCACCGAAGCUGCGGCAGCGACGCUGAUGCGUUGUUGGGUAGGGGAGCGUUCUGUAAGCCUGCGAAGGUGUGCUGUGAGGCAUGCUGGAGGUAUCAGAAGUGCGAAUGCUGACAUAAGUAACGAUAAAGCGGGUGAAAAGCCCGCUCGCCGGAAGACCAAGGGUUCCUGUCCAACGUUAAUCGGGGCAGGGUGAGUCGACCCCUAAGGCGAGGCCGAAAGGCGUAGUCGAUGGGAAACAGGUUAAUAUUCCUGUACUUGGUGUUACUGCGAAGGGGGGACGGAGAAGGCUAUGUUGGCCGGGCGACGGUUGUCCCGGUUUAAGCGUGUAGGCUGGUUUUCCAGGCAAAUCCGGAAAAUCAAGGCUGAGGCGUGAUGACGAGGCACUGCGGUGCUGAAGCAACAAAUGCCCUGCUUCCAGGAAAAGCCUCUAAGCAUCAGGUAACAUCAAAUCGUACCCCAAACCGACACAGGUGGUCAGGUAGAGAAUACCAAGGCGCUUGAGAGAACUCGGGUGAAGGAACUAGGCAAAAUGGUGCCGUAACUUCGGGAGAAGGCACGCUGAUAUGUAGGUGAAGUCCCUCGCGGAUGGAGCUGAAAUCAGUCGAAGAUACCAGCUGGCUGCAACUGUUUAUUAAAAACACAGCACUGUGCAAACACGAAAGUGGACGUAUACGGUGUGACGCCUGCCCGGUGC